This is a microRNA precursor of Macaca nemestrina (pig-tailed macaque), 96 nucleotides long. The record is from Ensembl. Lineage: Eukaryota; Metazoa; Chordata; Mammalia; Primates; Cercopithecidae.
UGAGGCAGGAGAAUUGCUUGAACCCAGGAGGUGGAGGUUGCAGUGAGCCGAGAUCGUGCCACUGUACUCUAGCCUGGGUGACAGAGCGAGACUCCA